GGAGCACUAAAUAUAGUAUAACUUAAUCAGAUUAUUUAUUUGGAAAAGAACCAAAUGCUUUAUAAUAUUAUAAAUAAACAGUCAGUAUUCUCCGAAACAAAUUAAUACUAUCUGACAGAAAUUAAUCAGUAUUCUCCAAAACAAAUUAGUAAUAUCCGAUAAAAAUUAAUCAGUACAGUCCGAUGUACCAAAUGAUCCUAUAAUAUUAGGAUCACUU
Molecule: long non-coding RNA, 217 nt
Filed under: Prunus persica (peach)
Lineage: Eukaryota; Viridiplantae; Streptophyta; Magnoliopsida; Rosales; Rosaceae
Description: long non-coding RNA (PPER_LNC002567)
Source: RNAcentral